GAUGAACGCUGGCGGCGUGCCUAAUACAUGCAAGUCGAGCGAACGGACGAGAAGCUUGCUUCUCUGAUGUUAGCGGCGGACGGGUGAGUAACACGUGGAUAACCUACCUAUAAGACUGGGAUAACUUCGGGAAACCGGAGCUAAUACCGGAUGAUAUUUUGAACCGCAUGGUUCAAAAGUGAAAGACGGUCUUGCUGUCACUUAUAGAUGAAUCCGCGCUGCAUUAGCUAGUUGGUAAGGUAACGGCUUACCAAGGCAACGAUGCAUAGCCGACCUGAGAGGGUGAUCGGCCACACUGGAACUGAGCCACGGUCCAGACUCCUACGGGAGGGAGCAGGAGGGAAUUUUCCGCAAUGGGCGAAAGCCUGACGGAGCAACGCCGCGUGAGUGAUGAAGGUCUUCGGAUCGUAAACCUUUGUUAUUAGGGAAAAACAUAUGUGAAAGAAACUGUGAACAUCUUGACGGUACCUAAUGAAAAAGCCACGGCUAACUACGUG
This 497-nucleotide ribosomal RNA is filed under the name uncultured bacterium. Its description in RNAcentral is "partial 16S ribosomal RNA". It matches the Rfam family "Bacterial small subunit ribosomal RNA", at positions 28 to 507 of the family's 1533-position model. The record is from RNAcentral.